Non-coding RNA from Odocoileus virginianus texanus, 2593 nucleotides. NCBI's taxonomy places the organism in Eukaryota, Metazoa, Chordata, Mammalia, Artiodactyla, Cervidae. The record is from RefSeq and is a predicted model, not a curated record.
CAAGGAUUGAACCCAGGUCUCCUGCAUUGCAGGCAGACUCUUUACUGUCGGAGCCACCGAAGCCCCCUUAGAUCUCCAACCAGGGUCCACAGAAGUGAAAGCCCCGAGUUCUAACCACUGGACAGCCCAGGAAUUCCCUUAGUUUGUUAUUGAAAGAUAUACUUGGGACUUCCCUAGGGGCUCAGUGGUAAAGAAUCUGCCUGCCAAUGCAGGAGACACAGGCUCGAUCCCUGGUCCAGGAAGAUUCCACGUGCCGUGGAGCAGCUAAGCCGGUGAGCCACUGCUACAGAGCCCGCCCUCUAGAGCCCAGGAGCCGCACCACGGAAGCCCUUGCACCUAGAGCCCAUGCGCCACCACUGCAAUGAGAAGUCUGAGCUCUGCAGCAAAGACUAGCCCCCCGCUCACCACAACCCAAGAAAGCCUGCGCAGCAACAAAGACCUAGCAUGACCAAAACUUACUUAAUUUUUAAAAAGAUAUAUUUGGAGGGAGAUGAUCUGAGAUUCUAUAAAUCUGUUUCUCCUCAAACUUUCUGGGAAGUCAUGAGAAGCAAGGACACUUCCCAGCAAUGAGCCUGCUCCAGGAGACACGUUGAGACUGUGACCCCUGGAGCCCUCCCCCAGCCCUGACCUCAGAACCACAGGAGGGGCAUCAGCACCCCUCUGCAUCCACUCCAUGGAAGGGCCAUCAUCCACCUCCAGGAAACCAGUACCUGCUGUCUCUGCCUCUCUCUGCUGGGGUGAUGUGUGUGUGAGCCCAGGGUGCAGGUGACAUCUUCUGGAUGCUGGCACACGACGGGGAGCAGCCAGGGGUCAUCACCAGGACACAGCGAUGCAGGAGGAGGAGGUACAGCGCCUAAGCGAGAUGGCACUGGCCUCAGUCUCUAUCUCUGUGAAAUCGGGCAGCAGCUCUGCUGCUGACCACGCUCUGCAGAAAUGCCACAGUGGACCCAAGACCAGCUCCAGGAAUGGCUGAACUCUGCAGAAACGGUAACCAGUCCUCCAGAGAAGCACCAGCAGCCCCCAUGCAGCAUGCCCAGUGCAUGUCCCCACCUCUGCCAGGCUGUAGUUCUGGCUGUUUACCCCAUUUCCCUCAGCUCUGCAGAGGGUGGCUCCUCUCUGACCACCGGAGGACCCGUGAGCUGCAGCAGGGUGUACUGAGCCAUCUCUGAUGACCACAGGGGCUCCCCACUGUGUCCACCCCCACCUGUCUCUGGAAAAGGGCUGGGCUUGACAGUUUUGCUCCACGUAGCUGAAAGGGAGAUGGGGCUCAGAAAGGGAAAGGCCUCGCCCAGACUCUCCCCCGCAAUCCUGGCCACCUGUGCUCGGACCUGAACCCCGAUCUUCCCGUUCAGUGGGUCUUGGGGCUAUCCCCACCCAGGCUUCUCAGUGCCUCAGCAGUCCUUAGAUGGACAGGGAGCAGGCCUGGGGACAGGGACCUCUGGGCUGCAGAAGAAGGGUGUGAGGAGCCCCGCUUCCCACAGAGCAGGACACUGGGAGGGCAGGACUCCACGGGAAGGUCACAUCCCCAAGCUGCAGGCACAUGGGUCAGCCAUUUUUGCCCAGCUCUCCCCAGGCAGGAGUUCUGCUGGUAGAACUGGCUAGCAGCCACCACGUGCUCAUGGUCACCACCAACUUCCAUUUCCAGGGGAGCCUGAGGAGGAGAACCUGGGAUACGGCAGGGUUUCAGUCAUGAGGGUGAGGCAGGGAUUGACCGCCUUCCUGUUCUGCAAAGCUUCCCAGAGCUCAGAGGCAGAGCUGGCCCCCAGCCCGGCCUCCAGCCCCACGGACUCCAGGGCUUGGAGGCAGCGUGGAGGGCAUUCAACCCAGCAGCUUGGGAGCCCCUGUGAGAUGCCCACCAACACAGCUCUCAUCCCCCUGGGAGGGUACAUCAGAUUGGGCUCCUGCCCCACUAUUUACACAGACACUGUCUCCCUGCUGCCUGCAGGCACCUGGGGGUUUCCAGUGAAGGUCGCACCCCCCUGAAGCCUUGGCUCAGCCAUGAUGGACUCUGAGGAGUGCUUUAGAACAUUCUGGAACCCCAAUAGUACGUCAGGGGCCUAUGGCCUGGUCUGGGGUGCUAGCACCUCCUCUGCUCCCUCCCACACCCUCACUGUCCUCCCAUCUCCUGGGGUGUUCCUCCAGAUGGGACUACCCCAACAUCUUGAAUCCCCCCCCACAUCUGAUACAUCCUCAGAGAUCAUUUCAUUCACCCUGCCCAUGUUGGGCAGGUAGGGAAAUUGAGGCACAGCAAGGAGCAGGACUUACCUGUUGAGGCCCGCCCCCAAGGCCACAGAAGCAGAGCCCAGAACCAAGGUCACCUCUGAAGCUGACUGAGCCCCUUUGUAACUGUUGCCAAAAGCCCCUGAUGAUCACUAAGGAGCUUCCUGACUCCCCAUUAGGCAAAGAUCCACUCCAGUAAGCACCCUGUAGCUCCCUAACCAAUCACCUAACGCCAACCAUCCAGCAGAAUUUUGUUAUAACAAUUGGCUAUUAACCCACAAAAACUGUCCAUUUUCCCUGGUUUGUCAGGAGGUCAGCCCACUGUGCUUGCACUGCACACAUUAUCUCUGCUCUUUGUUCUUAAUAAACUCAC